This 722-nucleotide ribosomal RNA is filed under the name uncultured bacterium. Its description in RNAcentral is "bacterial SSU rRNA". It matches the Rfam family "Bacterial small subunit ribosomal RNA", at positions 60 to 761 of the family's 1533-position model. The record is from RNAcentral.
AGUCGAACGCCCCGCUCUGAAUUGAGUUUACUCGAUUCAGAUUCAGCGGGGAGUGGCGAACGGGUGAGUAACACGUGGGUAGUCUACCUCGAAGACUGGGAUAACCCGGGGAAACUCGGGCUAAUACCGGAUGAUAUAACCAAAAGGCAUCUUUUGGUUAUCAAAGUUGGGAAACCUUCACUUCGGGAUGAGCCCGCGGCCCAUUAGCUAGUUGGUGAGGUAAUGGCUCACCAAGGCAACGAUGGGUAGCCGGCCUGAGAGGGUGUACGGCCACACUGGGACUGAGACACGGCCCAGACUCCUACGGGAGGCAGCAGUGGGGAAUAUUCCGCAAUGGGCGCAAGCCUGACGGAGCAACGCCGCGUGGAGGAUGAAGGUCUUCGGGUUGUAAACUUCUGUCGGGAGGGACGAAGCCCCGCCUUUGGCGGGAUGACGGUACCUUCGAAGGAAGCCCCGGCUAACUACGUGCCAGCAGCCGCGGUAAUACGUAGGGGGCAAGCGUUGUCCGGAAUUAUUGGGCGUAAAGAGCACGUAGGUGGCCAGUCAAGUCAGGUGUGAAAUCCUUGGGCUCAACCCGAGAACUGCACUUGAAACUGAUUGGCUUGAGUUCAGAAGAGGAGAGCGGAAUUCCUAGUGUAGCGGUGAAAUGCGCAGAUAUUAGGAGGAACACCAGUGGCGAAGGCGGCUCUCUGGUCUGUAACUGACACUGAGGUGCGAAAGCU